Molecule: unclassified non-coding RNA, 255 nt
Filed under: fungal sp.
Lineage: Eukaryota; Fungi
Description: partial internal transcribed spacer region
Rfam family: Eukaryotic small subunit ribosomal RNA (bases 1-46)
Source: RNAcentral
AAGUCGUAACAAGGUCUCCGUUGGUGAACCAGCGGAGGGAUCAUUAAAGAGUUAUUAUAAACUCCCAAACCCAUGUGAACAUACCUAUCGUUGCUUCGGCAGGUCGCGUCUACCCUGUAAGCUCCUACCCUGGAGCGUCUUACCCGGUAGACGCGGGUAAGCCUGCCGGUGGCCCACGAAACUCUGUUUAAUAUUGAAACUCUGAAUCUAUAACUAAAUAAGUUAAAACUUUCAACAACGGAUCUCUUGGUUCUG